UUACAAAGAAAUGUUGAUUAUCAUAUGUCACGUUUUUGAUUGGACGAUGACUAUUACAUGGCAUAUUCUGUAGUCAUCGUCCAAUCAGAAUGUGACACGUGACAUUCCUAUGUA
This is a non-coding RNA of Glycine soja, 114 nucleotides long. NCBI's taxonomy places the organism in Eukaryota, Viridiplantae, Streptophyta, Magnoliopsida, Fabales, Fabaceae. The record is from Rfam.